GACGAACGCUGGCGGCGUGCCUAACACAUGCAAGUCAAGGACUGUAGCAAUACAGGACUGGCGCACGGGUGCGGAACACGUAGGUAAUCUGCCCUUUAGGGGAGAACAACCAGCCGAAAGGUUGGCUAAAUCUCCGUAACAUCACGAUGUGGCAUCACAUUGUAAUCAAGUUUUCUAAAGGAUGAGCCUGCGUCUGAUUAGCUAGUUGGUAGUGUAANGGACUACCAAGGCUUCGAUCAGUAGCUGGUCUGAGAGGAUGAUCAGCCACAUUGGGACUGAGACACGGCCCAGACUCCUACGGGAGGCAGCAGUGAGGAAUAUUGCACAAUGGACGAAAGUCUGAUGCAGCAACGCCGCGUGAGGGAUGAAGGUGCUUUGCAUUGUAAACCUCUGUAGUCGGAGACAAACGACGGGUUAUUACCGUGUGAUGGUAUCCGAAAAGUAAGGAUCGGCUAACUACGUGCCAGCA
Molecule: ribosomal RNA, 469 nt
Filed under: uncultured bacterium
Lineage: Bacteria
Description: bacterial SSU rRNA
Rfam family: Bacterial small subunit ribosomal RNA
Source: RNAcentral